Molecule: small nuclear RNA, 116 nt
Filed under: Sinocyclocheilus anshuiensis
Lineage: Eukaryota; Metazoa; Chordata; Actinopteri; Cypriniformes; Cyprinidae
Description: U5 spliceosomal RNA (ENSSANG00000002961.1)
Rfam family: U5 spliceosomal RNA
About the family: U5 RNA is a component of both types of known spliceosome. The precise function of this molecule is unknown, though it is known that the 5' loop is required for splice site selection and p220 binding, and that both the 3' stem-loop and the Sm site are important for Sm protein binding and cap methylation.
Source: Rfam by way of RNAcentral
AGCUCGAGUUUGUCUUCAUUAUCGCAUAAAUCUUUCUCCUUUUACUAAAGAGUUCUGUGGAUGGGAACUUUUUGCGAGUUACCUGUAUUUUUGGAGGCUCUGAUCACAGCAGAACU